RNAcentral lists this ribosomal RNA (2818 nucleotides) under Acinetobacter baumannii. Its description in RNAcentral is "bacterial LSU rRNA". It matches the Rfam family "Bacterial large subunit ribosomal RNA". The record is from RNAcentral. Lineage: Bacteria; Pseudomonadati; Pseudomonadota; Gammaproteobacteria; Moraxellales; Moraxellaceae.
AGUGCAUGUGGUGGAUGCCUUGGCAGUCAGAGGCGAUGAAAGACGUGAUAGCCUGCGAAAAGCUCCGGGGAGGCGGCAAAUAUCCUUUGAUCCGGAGAUGUCUGAAUGGGGGAACCCACCUACUUUAAGGUAGGUAUUGCAACAUGAAUACAUAGUGUUGCAAGGCGAACGAGGGGAAGUGAAACAUCUCAGUACCCUUAGGAAAAGAAAUCAAUUGAGAUUCCCUCAGUAGCGGCGAGCGAACGGGGAUCAGCCCAUUAAGUUAUGUGUGUUUUAGUGGAACGCUCUGGGAAGUGCGAACGUAGAGGGUGAUAUUCCCGUACACGAAAGGGCACACAUAAUGAUGACGAGUAGGGCGAGGCACGUGAAACCUUGUCUGAAUAUGGGGGGACCAUCCUCCAAGGCUAAAUACUCCUGACUGACCGAUAGUGAACCAGUACCGUGAGGGAAAGGCGAAAAGAACCCCUGUGAGGGGAGUGAAAUAGAUCCUGAAACCGCAUGCAUACAAGCAGUGGGAGCACCUUCGUGGUGUGACUGCGUACCUUUUGUAUAAUGGGUCAGCGACUUAUAUUCAGUAGCAAGGUUAACCGUAUAGGGGAGCCGUAGAGAAAUCGAGUCUUAAUAGGGCGUUUAGUUGCUGGGUAUAGACCCGAAACCAGGCGAUCUAUCCAUGAGCAGGUUGAAGGUUGGGUAACACUAACUGGAGGACCGAACCCACUGUCGUUGAAAAGCCAGGGGAUGACUUGUGGAUAGGGGUGAAAGGCUAAUCAAGCCUGGUGAUAGCUGGUUCUCCCCGAAAGCUAUUUAGGUAGCGCCUCGGACGAAUACCAUAGGGGGUAGAGCACUGUUUCGGCUAGGGGGUCAUCCCGACUUACCAAACCGAUGCAAACUCCGAAUACCUAUGAGUACUAUCCGGGAGACAGACUGCGGGUGCUAACGUCCGUAGUCAAGAGGAAAACAAUCCAGACCGCCAGCUAAGGCCCCAAAAUCAUAGUUAAGUGGGAAACGAUGUGGGAAGGCAUAGACAGCUAGGAGGUUGGCUUAGAAGCAGCCACCCUUUAAAGAAAGCGUAAUAGCUCACUAGUCGAGUCGGCCUGCGCGGAAGAUGUAACGGGGCUAAAACUAUGUGCCGAAGCUGCGGAUNNUGCUGGAGGUAUCAGAAGUGCGAAUGCUGACGUGAGUAACGACAAAACGGGUGAAAAACCCGUUCGCCGAAAGACCAAGGGUUCCAGUCCAACGUUAAUCGGGGCUGGGUGAGUCGACCCCUAAGGCGAGGCCGAAAGGCGUAGUCGAUGGGAAAAUGGUUAAUAUUCCAUUACUUCUGUGUAAUGCGAUGAGAGGACGGAGAAGGCUAAAUCAGCCUGGCGUUGGUUGUCCAGGUGAAAGGAUGUAGGCAUGUAUCUUAGGCAAAUCCGGGGUACUCUAUGCUGAGAUCUGAUAGCAAGCUGUACUUGUACAGCGAAGUGGUUGAUGCCAUGCUUCCAGGAAAAGUCUCUAAGCUUCAGUUACACAGGAAUCGUACCCGAAACCGACACAGGUGGUCAGGUCGAGUAGACCAAGGCGCUUGAGAGAACUCUGCUGAAGGAACUAGGCAAAAUGGUACCGUAACUUCGGGAGAAGGUACGCUGUUGUUGGUGAUGGAACUCGCUUCCUGAGCUGACGACAGCCGCAGAAACCAGGCCGCUGCAACUGUUUAUUAAAAACAUAGCACUCUGCAAACACGAAAGUGGACGUAUAGGGUGUGAUGCCUGCCCGGUGCUGGAAGGUUAAUUGAUGGGGUUAGCGUAAGCGAAGCUCUUGAUCGAAGCCCCAGUAAACGGCGGCCGUAACUAUAACGGUCCUAAGGUAGCGAAAUUCCUUGUCGGGUAAGUUCCGACCUGCACGAAUGGCAUAAUGAUGGCGGCGCUGUCUCCAGCAGAGGCUCAGUGAAAUCGAAAUCGCUGUGAAGAUGCAGUGUACCCGCGGCUAGACGGAAAGACCCCGUGAACCUUUACUGCAGCUUGACACUGAACUUUGACCUUACUUGUGUAGGAUAGGUGGGAGGCUUUGAAGCUGGAACGCUAGUUCCAGUGGAGCCGUCCUUGAAAUACCACCCUGGUAAUGUUGAGGUUCUAACUCUGUCCCGUGAUCCGGGACGAGGACCGUGUCUGGUGGGUAGUUUGACUGGGGCGGUCUCCUCCUAAAGAGUAACGGAGGAGUACGAAGGUGCGCUCAGCGUGGUCGGAAAUCACGCGUAGAGUAUAAAGGCAAAAGCGCGCUUAACUGCGAGACCCACAAGUCGAGCAGGUACGAAAGUAGGUCUUAGUGAUCCGGUGGUUCUGUAUGGAAGGGCCAUCGCUCAACGGAUAAAAGGUACUCUGGGGAUAACAGGCUGAUACCGCCCAAGAGUUCAUAUCGACGGCGGUGUUUGGCACCUCGAUGUCGGCUCAUCUCAUCCUGGGGCUGAAGCAGGUCCCAAGGGUAUGGCUGUUCGCCAUUUAAAGAGGUACGCGAGCUGGGUUUAGAACGUCGUGAGACAGUUCGGUCCCUAUCUACCGUGGGCGCUGGAAAUUUGAGAGGAUCUGCUCCUAGUACGAGAGGACCAGAGUGGACGAACCUCUGGUGUACCGGUUGUGACGCCAGUCGCAUCGCCGGGUAGCUAUGUUCGGAAGGGAUAACCGCUGAAAGCAUCUAAGCGGGAAGCCUACCUCAAGAUAAGAUUUCCCUAGGACUUUAUGUCCUCUAAAGAGCCGUUCGAGACUAGGACGUUGAUAGGUUGGAUGUGGAAGCAUAGUGAUAUGUGAAGCUGACCAAUACUAAUUGCUCGUGAGGCUUGACU